GUAGGUGAACCUGCGGAGGGAUCAUUACACAAAUAUGAAGGCGGGCUGGAACCUCUCGGGGUUACAGCCUUGCUGAAUUAUUCACCCUUGUCUUUUGCGUACUUCUUGUUUCCUUGGUGGGUUCGCCCACCACUAGGACAAACAUAAACCUUUUGUAAUUGCAAUCAGCGUCAGUAACAAAUUAAUAAUUACAACUUUCAACAACGGAUCUCUUGGUUCUGGCAUCGAUGAAGAACGCAGCGAAAUGCGAUAAGUAGUGUGAAUUGCAGAAUUCAGUGAAUCAUCGAAUCUUUGAACGCACAUUGCGCCCUUUGGUAUUCCAAAGGGCAUGCCUGUUCGAGCGUCAUUUGUACCCUCAAGCUUUGCUUGGUGUUGGGCGUCUUGUCUCUAGCUUUGCUGGAGACUCGCCUUAAAGUAAUUGGCAGCCGGCCUACUGGUUUCGGAGCGCAGCACAAGUCGCACUCUCUAUCAGCAAAGGUCUAGCAUCCAUUAAGCCUUUUUUUCAACUUUUGACCUCGGAUCAGGUAGGGAUACCCGCUGAACUUAAGCAUAUCAAUAAGCGGAGGA
RNAcentral lists this ribosomal RNA (567 nucleotides) under Alternaria sp. SR/II/42. RNAcentral describes it as "eukaryotic LSU rRNA". The stretch from base 193 to 346 matches the Rfam family "5.8S ribosomal RNA". RNAcentral also lists the same sequence under 1 other name. Lineage: Eukaryota; Fungi; Ascomycota; Dothideomycetes; Pleosporales; Pleosporaceae. The record is from RNAcentral.